This 77-nucleotide transfer RNA is filed under the name Candidatus Cloacimonadota bacterium. RNAcentral describes it as "Candidatus Cloacimonetes bacterium tRNA-Arg". It matches the Rfam family "tRNA". From Rfam's summary of the family: Transfer RNA (tRNA) molecules are approximately 80 nucleotides in length. Their secondary structure includes four short double-helical elements and three loops (D, anti-codon, and T loops). RNAcentral also lists the same sequence under 3 other names. Lineage: Bacteria; Pseudomonadati; Candidatus Cloacimonadota. The record is from RNAcentral.
GCGCCCAUGGCUCAAUUGGAUAGAGCAUCUGACUACGGAUCAGAGGGUUGGGGGUUCGAAUCCCUCUGGGCGUGCCA